CUUUUUCAAAAGCUCAACCAGGCUAAAGAUUCUUUGAUUUGAAAACCAAAGUGAUAGUGAACUAGUUAGUUGAAACAAACAGAAUUGUUUGAUUUAUUUACUUUCCACAACAUUGACAAUUAAAAUUUAAUUUGAUACUUUUCCAGUAUGCAUUCUUCAUUGACAUUAUAGAGGUUCAGAUUUGACUACCAUUACCAUUAAGGACCAUCAAAUGCAUUUGAUAUAUUCGAUCAACCAUUAUAACCAAUCAGAUGCAUACUAAGGCAGUCAGAGAUAGUGCUAGUAGAACUCAAAUCUUAACCUCUACAAUGAAAGUGCGAGUUUAUUCAUAAACUAAUUAUACGUAAAUCAACUUUCAUGCAAUCAUCUAGUUAUGUACCAGUCAAUGUAAACCCUGCCCCCAACCGGGGAGGGGCGGGAGGUUUAGUGGGAAAGUGGUCCGUUUUGAUUAUAAAUUUGCCC
Non-coding RNA from Paramuricea clavata, 462 nucleotides. NCBI's taxonomy places the organism in Eukaryota, Metazoa, Cnidaria, Anthozoa, Malacalcyonacea, Plexauridae. The record is from the annotation of a GenBank genome assembly.